This 2422-nucleotide long non-coding RNA is filed under the name Marmota monax (woodchuck). Lineage: Eukaryota; Metazoa; Chordata; Mammalia; Rodentia; Sciuridae. The record is from RNAcentral.
CCCAGACUGAGUCAGGAGGAUACACACAAUUUGAACAGACCAAUAUCAAUGGAUGAAAUAGAAGAAGCAAUCAAAAGACUACCAACCAAGAAAAGCCCUGGACCGGAUGGGUAUACAGCGGAGUUUUACAAAACCUUUAAAGAAGAAUUAAUACCAAUACUUUUCAAGUUAUUUCAGGAAAUAGAAAAAGAGGGAGCUCUUCCAAAUUCAUUCUAUGAGGCCAACAUCACCCUGAUUCCAAAACCAGACAAAGACACCUCAAAGAAAGAAAACUACAGACCAAUAUCCCUAAUGAACCUAGAUGCAAAAAUCCUCAAUAAAAUUCUGGUGAAUCGGAUACAAAAACACAUCAAAAAAAUUGUGCACCAUGAUCAAGUAGGAUUCAUCCCUGGGAUGCAAGGAUGAUUCAAUAUACGGAAAUCAAUAAAUGUUAUUCACCACAUCAAUAGACUUAAAGAUAAGACCCAUAUGAUCAUCUCGAUAGACGCUGAAAAAGCAUUCGACAAAGUACAGCAUCCCUUUAUGUUCAAAACAUUAGAAAAACUAGGGAUAACAGGAACUUACCUCAACAUUGUAAAAGCAAUCUAUGCUAAGCCUCAGGCUAGCAUCAUUCCGAAUGGAGAAAAAUUGAAGGCAUUCCCUCUAAAAUCUGGAACAAGACAGGGAUGCCCUCUAUCACCACAUCUAUUCAAUACAGUUCUCGAAACACUGGCCAGAGCAAUUAGACAGACGAAAGAAAUUAAAGGCAUAAAAAUAGGAAAAGAAGAACUUAAAUUAUCACUAUUUGCAGUAGACAUGAUUCUAUACCUAGAAGACCCAAAAGGGUCUACAAAAAAACUACUAGAACUAAUAAAUGGAUUCAGCAAAGUGGCAGGAUAUAAAAUCAACACGCAUAAAUCAAAGGCAUUUCUGUAUAUCAGCGACAAAACUUCUGAAAAGGAAAUGAGGAAAAACACUCCAUUCACAAUAUCCUCAAAAAAAAUAAAAUACUUGGGAAUCAACCUAACAAAAGAGGUGAAAGAUUUAUACAAUGAAAACUACAAAACCCUAAAGAGAGAAAUAGAAGAUCUUAGAAGUUGGAAAAAUAUACCCUGUUCAUGGAUAGGCAGAACUAACAUCAUCAAAAUGGCGAUAUUACCAAAAGUUCUCUAUAGGUUUAAUGCAAUGCCAAUCAAAAUCCCAACGGUAUUUCUUGUAGAAAUAGAUAAAGCAAUCAUGAAAUUCAUAUGGAAAAAUAAAAGACCCAGAAUAGCAAAAGCGACUCUAAGCAGGAAGUGUGAAUCAGGCGGCAUAGCGAUACCAGAUUUCAAACUACAUUACAGAGCAAUAGUAACAAAAACAGCAUGGUACUGGUACCAAAACAGGCGGGUGGACCAGUGGUACAGAAUAGAGGACAUAGAGACUAAUCCACAAAGUUACAACUAUCUUAUAUUUGAUAAAGGGGCUAAAAGCAUGCAAUGGAGGAAGGAUAACAUCUUCAACAAAUGGUGUUGGGAAAACUGGAAAUCCAUAUGCAACAAAAUGAAACUGAAUCCCCUUCUCUCGCCAUGCACAAAAGUUAACUCAAAAUGGAUCAAGAGCUUGAUAUCAAAUCAGAGACUGCGUCUGAUAGAAGAAAAAGUUGGCUCUGAUCUACAUAUUGUGGGGUCGGGCUCCAAAUUCCUUAAUAGGACACCCAUAGCACAAGAGUUAAUAACAAGAAUCAACAAAUGGGACUUACUUAAAGUAAAAAGUUUUUUCUCAGCAAGAGAAACAAUAAGAGAGGUAAAUAGGGAGCCUACAUCAUGGGAACAAAUUUUUACUCCUCACACUUCAGAUAGAGCCCUAAUAUCCAGAGUAUACAAAGAACUCAAAAAAUUAGACAAUAAGAGAACAAACAACCCAAUCAACAAAUGGGCCAAGGACCUGAACAGACACUUCUCAGAGGAGGACAUACAAUCAAUCAACAAGUACAUGAAAAAAUGCUCACCAUCUCUAGCAGUCAGAGAAAUGCAAAUCAAAACCACCCUAAGAUACCAUCUCACUCCAGUAAGAUUGGCAGCCAUUAUGAAGUCAAACAACAACAAGUGCUGGCGAGGAUGUGGGGAAAAGGGUACACUUGUACAUUGCUGGUGGGACUGCAAAUUGGUGCAGCCAAUUUGGAAAGCAGUAUGGAGAUUUCUUGGAAAGCUGGGAAUGGAGCCACCAUUUGACCCAGCUAUUCCCCUUCUCGGUCUAUUCCCUAAAGACCUAAAAAGAGCAUGCUACAGGGACACUGCUACAUCGAUGUUCAUAGCAGCACAAUUCACAAUUGCUAGACUGUGGAACCAACCCAGAUGCCCUUCAAUAGAUGAAUGGAUAAAAAAAAUGUGGCAUUUAUACACCAUGGAGUAUUACGCAGCACUAAAAAAUGACAAAAUCAUGGAAUUUGCAGGGAAAUGGA